GCCUUCGUGGUUUAGUGGUUAGCACGUUCGACACGUAACGUGAGGUCCGUGGUUCGACUCCCGGCGAAGGCG
Molecule: transfer RNA, 72 nt
Filed under: Stegodyphus mimosarum
Lineage: Eukaryota; Metazoa; Arthropoda; Arachnida; Araneae; Eresidae
Rfam family: tRNA
About the family: Transfer RNA (tRNA) molecules are approximately 80 nucleotides in length. Their secondary structure includes four short double-helical elements and three loops (D, anti-codon, and T loops).
Source: Rfam by way of RNAcentral